RNAcentral lists this ribosomal RNA (253 nucleotides) under uncultured bacterium. Its description in RNAcentral is "partial 16S ribosomal RNA". It matches the Rfam family "Bacterial small subunit ribosomal RNA", at positions 524 to 776 of the family's 1533-position model. The record is from RNAcentral.
UACAGAGGGUGCAAGCGUUAAUCGGAAUUACUGGGCGUAAAGCGUGUGUAGGUGGUUUGCUAAGUCAGGUGUGAAAUCCCUGGGCUCAACCUAGGAAUUGCAUUUGAUACUGGCAGACUAGAGUGCGGUAGAGGAUGGUGGAAUUCCCGGUGUAGCGGUGAAAUGCGUAGAGAUCGUAAGGAAGACCAGUGGCGAAGGCGAGUUUCUGGACGGUAACUGACGCUGAGGCACGAAGGCCAGGGGAGCAAACGGG